AACGAACGCUGGCGGCAGGCUUAACACAUGCAAGUCGAGCGCCCCGCCAGGGGAGCGGCCGACGGGUGAGUAACGCAUGGGAACGUACCUUUUGGUUCGGAACAACUCCGGGAAACUGGAGCUAAUACCGGAUAAGCCCUAACGGGGAAAGAUUUAUCGCCGAAAGAUCGGCCCGCGUCUGAUUAGCUAGUUGGUGAGGUAACGGCUCACCAAGGCGACGAUCAGUAGCUGGUCUGAGAGGAUGAUCAGCCACACUGGGACUGAGACACGGCCCAGACUCCUACGGGAGGCAGCAGUGGGGAAUAUUGGACAAUGGGCGCAAGCCUGAUCCAGCCAUGCCGCGUGAGUGAUGAAGGCCUUAGGGUUGUAAAGCUCUUUUGUCCGGGAAGAUAAUGACUGUACCGGAAGAAUAAGCCCCGGCUAACUUCGUG
This 431-nucleotide ribosomal RNA is filed under the name uncultured bacterium. Its description in RNAcentral is "partial 16S ribosomal RNA". It matches the Rfam family "Bacterial small subunit ribosomal RNA", at positions 29 to 507 of the family's 1533-position model. The record is from RNAcentral.